This 76-nucleotide transfer RNA is filed under the name Bacteroidota bacterium. Its description in RNAcentral is "Bacteroidetes bacterium (freshwater metagenome) tRNA-Thr". It matches the Rfam family "tRNA". From Rfam's summary of the family: Transfer RNA (tRNA) molecules are approximately 80 nucleotides in length. Their secondary structure includes four short double-helical elements and three loops (D, anti-codon, and T loops). Further hydrogen bonds mediate the characteristic L-shaped molecular structure. tRNAs have two regions of fundamental functional importance: the anti-codon, which is responsible for specific mRNA codon recognition, and the 3' end, to which the tRNAs corresponding amino acid is attached (by aminoacyl-tRNA synthetases). tRNAs cope with the degeneracy of the genetic code in two manners: having more than one tRNA (with a specific anti-codon) for a particular amino acid; and 'wobble' base-pairing, i.e. permitting non-standard base-pairing at the 3rd anti-codon position. The record is from RNAcentral. Lineage: Bacteria; Pseudomonadati; Bacteroidota.
GCCAGCAUAGCUCAGUUGGUAGAGCUACUGAUUUGUAAUCAGUAGGUCGGGGGUUCGAGUCCCUCUGCUGGCUCUA